CUACGGGAGGCAGCAGUGGGGAAUAUUGGGCAAUGGGCGAAAGCCUGACCCAGCGACGCCGCGUGAGGGACGAAGGCCUUCGGGUUGUAAACCUCUUUCAGCAGGGAAGAAGCGAAAGUGACGGUACCUGCAGAAGAAGCACCGGCUAACUACGUGCCAGCAGCCGCGGUAAUACGUAGGGUGCAAGCGUUGUCCGGAAUUAUUGGGCGUAAAGAGCUCGUAGGUGGUUUGCCACGUCGGAUGUGAAAACCUGAGGCUUAACCUCAGGCCUGCAUUCGAUACGGGCAGACUAGAGUGUGGUAGGGGAGACUGGAAUUCCUGGUGUAGCGGUGAAAUGCGCAGAUAUCAGGAGGAACACCGGUGGCGAAGGCGGGUCUCUGGGCCAUAACUGACACUGAGGAGCGAAAGCGUGGGGAGCAAACAGGAUUAGAUACCCUGGUAGUCCACGCCGUAAACGGUGGGCACUAGAUGUGGGGACCUUCCACGGUCUCUGCGUCGCAGCUAACGCAUUAAGUGCCCCGCCUGGGGAGUACGGCCGCAAGGCUAAAACUCAAAUGAAUUGACGG
This 566-nucleotide ribosomal RNA is filed under the name uncultured bacterium. RNAcentral's name for it is "bacterial SSU rRNA". It matches the Rfam family "Bacterial small subunit ribosomal RNA", at positions 339 to 916 of the family's 1533-position model. The record is from RNAcentral.